This is a long non-coding RNA of Drosophila hydei, 227 nucleotides long. RefSeq lists it as uncharacterized. Lineage: Eukaryota; Metazoa; Arthropoda; Insecta; Diptera; Drosophilidae. The transcript has 3 exons. The record is from RefSeq and is a predicted model, not a curated record.
GCUCACUUUACUCUGCUCACUUUAAAUAUUAUUUAUAUUUAUAUUAGUUCAUAUUUCUAAUUAUUUAAGCAGGAGCAGCCAAAGCGCAGGAGGAAAUUGAAUUUAACUCAUGAAUAAUUGCCAGUGGCUGCAGCAUAGCACAGCACAGCUGGUUCAGAUCACAGGCGAUAUACUCGAGCGAGGCGUCCGUGAUGCGGGGACACCAGGACAGGUCCAGGGCGCGCAGC